Felis catus (domestic cat) is the source of this 7945-nucleotide long non-coding RNA. RefSeq lists it as uncharacterized. Lineage: Eukaryota; Metazoa; Chordata; Mammalia; Carnivora; Felidae. The record is from RefSeq and is a predicted model, not a curated record. The transcript is spliced from 4 exons.
CCUGGAGUAGGAGGAAAGACAGAGUUAAUCUGGACAUUGAAGACUUUGAUGUGAGAAGGUCCUGAUUAGAGGAGGCAGCACAGGUCAUGGGUGCCAACAGAUGGGGUUUGGGUCCUGGCUCUAUCACCUGCCAGUUCUAUGAAGCUUCAUCAUCUGUAAAAUGGGAAGGCCAAUUAAAUAGGGCUGUUGUGAGAACAAAGGCAGUGCAGGUAUUGAGCAAAUACUAGCUGGUCCUGAAGAUGAUCUGUGUGAUAUCCUAAUGUCAUACUUCUAAUGGGGACAAAAAGGCAGCUCCUUCUUGACUCUCUCCUAAAAAGGGAGAGGCCAAGUGGGUCCAGAUCCCCUUGCUAGGUCAGCUGGACUGCUAGGUCAGCACACAAUUCAAUUUCCUUCCAGAGUCAGGAAUAUAGGGCUCCCACAAGGGUAGAGGUAAGUCAGGGUUUUUCAUAGUUUAAUAAAGAAAUAUACUUUGAGGCCUACUUCUGUAUUUGGAUCCACCCUUUAGGCAUCGGUUGCCCCUAAAACAUUGCCAGGUACUCCAAAGCUAAAAUGCUGUGUCCCCUCUAAUUGGCACAUGGCCUUAUAGGACAUUUGGGCACACUUUCUGAAUCUUCCAUUGGUCACUGGUUAAGUUUGACAUGUAGUAAGGGAAACACAAGAGGAAAGUAGAUAAUGUAGGUCAUAUGAUACAAAACCGCACAUGUGGACUGAGGUAAUGAAAGGCCCUCUAGGACCCUGGGUGGUAAAAAAGGCUCAGGUCUAGGAAUUAAGGUCAGGAUUCCAGCCUCGAUUCUGUGGCCAAUUUAUCUGUGUGACCUUGGGCAAGUGCCAUUCCCUGUCCGAGUCUCAAUUUCUUCCUCUGUGAAACAACAGGGCUAUUGUGAGGACUGAAGAAGCCUGAGUAGAUUACCAAACAGAGUUCGGGGCAUAUAGAAGGUACUGAAUUAAUGAAUGUAAUUAUUUCCAUUAAAUGGCAGCAAAGGAUCGCAUUCUCAGAGAACGUAGAGACGUGUGUGUCUCCCCCUUUCCUCCAAACAAAUGCUCAAACCUUGAAAAUAAGGAUUUAUAAUGAUGAUGCUGGGACAACUUUAGCUGUGAAUGGCCUGCUUAUAAUAAGGUUGCCUUCCCAGGGGUAAUCAAAUACAAUUGCAGAGCAAAAACAGUGUGGCAGACAAUUCCCGUGAAAAAUCGGAGGCACCGGAGACUGGAGCUGUGUUCUUUGCCGGGAGGGCAAAGGAAGAUUCAGGGUCUGCACCACCAACAAUGAUGGGGGCCAUUUUAAGGCAUCUUUUGCAGGGUCCCCUGUGACUCCUCCCAAGGAGCUGCCACCCAGCCAGCUGCCCCCCCCCCGCCACCCCUGGAGGGCCCCUAGGGAAGGCGAGCUACACCUCUGUGGCAAAAUUAAUAAAAUUGAAUUAAGCAGCUCACUGGGGAACCGCCUAAUGCUUCCUGUGCUUGGCAGUGGCAGCAAUGAGAUUAUUUUACAUCUUUCUUUAUUAAAAAAGUUCCCAGUUGUAUAAAAAAUGAGCUCCAUUAUGGGGAGGCGCACCCGGAUAACAUUCUAAUUCCACAUGCCGUCACUGUGGGUGGCCAUUUAUUUUGGGAGGACGCGGAGAUGCGGCCACCGGCCUGGAGCACCAUUAAUCUCAGGCUGGGAGAGGGACCAAUUAAAGCCUGGGAAACUUUUGGUCCAGUUCACACCGCAGAGAGGAAAUCCUAAUAGCACUAAUCGCUGCCAUUUAUUGAGCACCUGGGUUCUACCAGCAUUGGUCUAGGUACUUGGAAUAUAUUAUCUUGUUUCCACAGAGGAGUCUGAGACUAGAGGAGUUGCUCAGGGCUACACGCCAGGCCCAGGCAGGAAUCAAACCAAGGUCAAAUUUUCCAUUUAGCACACUGCCUUAGAUGUGCAUGAGGGGGCUCCUGGAGAAUUCAGACGGGGGGCUCGGGAAGGCUGCAGAUGGUGGCGGGCCACAGAGAACAAAGACACUUACGGCCUUCCUCAGGGAACCAGUGGAAGGCUCUUUCCCACUUCGGUUUUUGCUAGAGUUCUAGGCUGUUGAGGAGACACAGGAAGGCUGGUUUUGUGGAUUCUAGUUGUGUGAUAUUGGCUGUGUUGAGACAGCGCCAGCCGUGUGGCAUGAGGAUGCUUCUGUGGUUUUUAGGAGUCAGCAACAAUCUCGCUCAGUUCUGUGGUUCCCCUCAGCCCAGCCAGUGCCUACAGAGCAGCUGGGGUCUGCAAGGAGCUGUGCCCAGAACCGGGCUGGUUUCUUCACUUUCACGCUCCCUGUCACCUUCCUUUCUGAAGCUAGAGGGAAACGAAGUGGGGCACUCGGGCCUGGGGGGCGAGGGCGGUAAUAACACUCUGCAGAAACAUGGGGGGUGAGGCAGUGAAAGGGCUGGCUCAGGGCAUCCACAUUCCGAAGAGCACUCUGAAAUGCCAGACCACAGAUGCCAACCCACUGGCAGCAGGGACAGCUGGGGUUGGGGGUCGUUUUGCUCACUUAGUAAGGGGACAACUGCCUGGAAGGAGUGGAGGAUGUGGCUUAGGUUCCAAAUAGCCAAACUGGAUUCUGCUAGAUAUUAAUAAGAACAUAGUAGUAAGAAUAGCAGGAACAACAGGAGUAGGUUAUUGACCACUUCCUGUGUGCAAGGCUCGGUAUGAGGCAUUCUGUAUAUUAUUUCCAACUCUUCUCGCAACUUGUAAAAUUGAUUCAUCCUUCCCAUUUUUUUUGGAGAAUGAGACUGAGGCUCCGGAUGAAUGAAAUGGCAUCACGGACGGGCUGAAAUUCAGUCCGGGUAUCACAGAAGCUGGAAAUCCAACUCAGGCCUAACACCAAAGCCGGCGAUCUUGCCACAACGGAAGAGAGAUUCGAGAUUUCUUAUUAAUGCCUUCCAGAGCCUGGGAAAUGCCACUGGAUCUCCCUGCUGCCUGAUCAAUACCUGUGAUUAGCUCAUCAGAACACCGCUGUUUCUGGCUCUGCAGGGAAAAACUGGAGCUGCCCAUCCGGGGAACCCUGAACACCUAGGUGCCACGCCCCCUCGGUGGAGCCCUCUCUCUUCCUGCUACAGAGCUGCUGACGGAAAGACAGAACCGCUGGACAAGUUGGGACAGUUUUCCCCCCUCUCUGGAUUCCAAGUGGCUGCUUCAAACCCUGGCCCUGCGAUUGGGUGACUUUGGGACAGUGGCUUAGUUCUGUCUGUUUUGGCUCUAAAGAACUGGCAAAUUUCUUUCUUUCUAACCAAGAGGAAGGAACGUGUUAAUAUGGGAAAGUCCUUGGAGUCAGACGUUCUAGGCUUUGAAUUCAGGCUCUACACUUGCCAGCAAUGAAUGUUAACCCUAGAGGAUGGGCACUCAGUUCUCUUUUCCUGUGAACCAUCAACCUCCUACAAAUGACAUGAUUUCAGGCAGGUUAUAUAACACAACCUCUGGGAGCUUCUGUUUUCUCCUCUAUAAAAUGAAGACAGUAACACCUGUCUCAGGAAGAUACUGUGAAGUUCAAAUAAGAGUUACCUGGUCAGGCUGUGGAGAGAAAUCAUGGAGAGGAUGUGGACUCUCUCACCCAUUGUCUGCAGCCUCUAAGGGCUUCAAGCUCUCUUGCCAGUUUCCACUUAGCCUUCAUGAAUCUGCCAAACCACCCUAGCUGAUCUCUUGUGACCAGUUGUGUUAACCCAGGUAAGCUAGUGCUCACGUCUCGACUUUCUCUUCAGGAGUCUCUCUCCCUGGAUUUGGUUAGGUGGUUGCCCUGUGACCUUAGAGAAGUUUAAGAAAAACUCAUGAAUUUGCCAUUUGCCUGGCUUAUUCCUACUGUUAAGUUUGGGAACGAUGUACUUUCCAGCUCUUAUAUCCUCCAGUGAAACCCUUAAGCCAAGUGUCAUUACUUGAACCACUUGAAUUCUAUGUCCUGCUGGGCACACAGAUAAUGCUGGAGCUGGGAUUUGAUACUCUUAUCGCUACAGCUAUUUUUCCUCCCUUCUUUAUUUCCCUUCCCUGUAUUUACAUUUCAUUCAUAAAAUAUUUACUGAGCACCUACUAGGUGGCAAGCCCUAAGCCUGAUACAGAGACAAAUUAGUAUUUAGUGUGAGCAUAACUAUGACAGAAGCUGUCACAGGGCACCAGGGGAUACCAGAGCCACUUACCCCUGUUAAACUUAGGAAAGCUGGCUGCUCAUACCCACCCAGCAAGCGAAUUUUGGAACCUGCCUCGUGCUCAUGAGGCCGUUCUCUUAGCCACUGAAUGCCAUCUGGCCAGGAGCCCAAGUCUGAAAUUAAUGAUACCACACAUUGGAGAUGAGGACUGCAUUAUAGAGUUCUUUGAGGUUUUCUGCCAGCAGACCUGUAGGCUGACGAGAGGAAAGUAACCUUCAUUCCCCAGAACUGUGAACUCCUAAGUCGACUUGCUCUGAAGUGUGUUGUGUUUAUGAUAGAUGCAUUAUUUAAUCUGUUGAAAGGAUCAAUAAAGCCAACUUAAAACUUGUUUCAGUAAUAGCCUGUGCUACAGGCAAGCCUGGGCUGAUUUUUAAAAAAAAUAUUAGAGCAUUUGGGUUGGAAUCCACUAAACUGCCUCAUGGAGCUAAAAGUAGAAAAUUCACUAGAGCAAUGGUGCAUUGGCAAAAUCUGUCAAAAUGUGUGUUAAGAAACACCACAAUAAUGAUAAUACUGCAUCUGUACUUCUUGAGAGCUUCACGGUUUACAAGCAUUUUUUACCUUUAGUGUUUGUUUAGUUUUUUUGAUCCCCAUAAUGACCCUGAAAUGGGGUAAGGGAGGCAUGAUUUCUGUCUGGUUGAAACCUAGGUCUGGAAACCAGUCAGCCAGCCCCUGAGUCACAGGGCUAAUAUUCAGUGAAAACAGGUAUCUGGGACCUUUGCUUUGCUCACAGUCUGAGCUGAACCAUUUUUUCAUGACCCACUCUGCAUGCCUUUUUUCAGCCCAUUUUGGAUAUUCUUAUGGACUUGACCCCUUCCUAGUUCUGCCCUGAUCUCUCAGACUCCACCCUUGAUUCUGCUCCCCUGCUAUGAACUUUAAUUCCCACCUACUUUCGUCACAACUUUUGUUUGCUCUCUUGACUAGUUUACUUGCAGCUGUUCCCGGGUAAUACCUUUCAUGCCUGAAUAAUAUUUAUGCAAUUAUUGGUACAUCCACUCGUAUUGCUUGAAGUGACGUCGUCGAUGAUGAUGAUGAUGAUGGUGGUGGUGGUGGUGACAGCAGCAGCAGUUCUCAGUUGAUUCCUUACGGAUUGCUAGAUGAAUGAAUGACUACAUGACUGGUCAACGGCACGGAGAGAGCGAGGGAUUUGGGGUCAGCACACCUCACCUCUUAUCUCAGUUCUACAAUUACUACAGGUGUGCGUUACUUAAACACUUUGAACUUCUUUCCUCAUAUGUAAAUGGAGGUAAUAAAUAUUACAUAGAGUAAUUGUGAGUAUCAAGACAAUGUACAAGGAAUUGCUUUGUAAAUUAUAAAGGGAAUGAAUAUUUACAGCCUAUUACUAGCUGCCAGGCACUGUGCUAGGCAAUUUAUGUACAGGGUUUCAUUAAAAAAUUCAUUUCCACAUCCCUGAUGGAAACAAGCACAGGGCUCUGCAUUUAUAACUGCAAUUCCCCGCCCCCUGCCCCCCCCACCACUGCCCCGAGCCUCAGUUCUCUUAUCUGUAAAAUGGGGUAGAUAAUAUCACCUCUUGGGAAUAUUGUGACAGCUAGGUAAGAAAAAGGAAGUCCUACGCAUCUCUGUAUUCUCCUUUCUAACAGUGCCUGACACAUAAGAAGUUCUUCAGAAGUCAUUUUGGACCCUGCAUAUGAUCACACCCUGUAGCCUGCUGAGCUAGGAACUAAUCCCCUCUUUUGAUUGGCGGCAACAUCUUCUGUUUCUUCUCUUCUCCAUUCCUCCCUCUAGUUUCUCCUUGGGCCUGGGCUUAUUUCCACCCAGGGGAGCUGGCCAAGUUCCUUGGUUCCCUGCUUUGCACUCUUGCCUCUGAGCUGUGUUCUUAGCUCUCUGGCUUACUCCCUGCUCCCCACGGGGCAGUAAAACAGCUCUGAGUGUUUGUACAGAGGAAGCUCUCAGAAUGAAAGCCAGCACCCCCGCCCAUACGUGUAUAUAAAAAUAUAAGCCGUGUCUGGAGAGUUUGGUAAAAAAAAAAAAAAAAUUCCAUGCUUAGAUUCAGAUGAGGGUAGCGAGGACCAGGGGCAAAGGGAUUUCAGCCCAGGAUUUCUGAAGCUAAGUGUGGGUUUUUCCCCCGUUCCACUACACGCCGGUUGUCCUCUGAGCUUUUGAUUUGGCUGCUUGGUAGCACCUCUCACUAAAGUAAAACAACUUUCCAACGUGUGGAUUGAAAAUUUUCAGUGCCCUGUGCUGGCUGGUGCGGGGCCCGUUUUGAGAAUUGAAAAUACUCGCGUGCACAUCCUCAGGCCGUAGCAGCUUCCUGACGGGUAAUUCAAGCUUGCUCACAGACUGGAGAGGGAAAUUCUCGAGCCAGCAAGGGGAAGCCUGCCAAAUUGGAAAGACGAGUGGCAGAGAACAGAUUCCAUUCUGGAGCGGAACAAUCACAUUAGCCAGUGCAGAGGAAAACCACGCCAGCAAUCGAAAGGGAUGUGACGCGGGUGUUGGGACCGCCAGCACCAGCCUUGGGGCUCUGGGGACAGUGCUCCACAACACAUGUCACUAACAGGGGGGCCUCCUGGCCUCUGUUGCACCCUGAGUACAGGGAGCAGGUGAAUAGUCAGUGGAAAAGGGCCUGUGUGCAGCCUGCCCUACAAGGGGGUUUAAAAAGCUAAGUGUGGUUAUUGCUGUCCCCAUUCUACAAUUUAAUGUAACUCGUGCCUUCCUUUUUCCUGGGUUUUGCUAAUGCUGGCAGCUCUGGCCAGGCCCUGCCGAAAGAUCUAGCAAUAAAGGACACUUUCCUUGCCAAGACGUUGCAGGACAAACUAAGGACAUGCUGAACUGCCAGUCACUGGGUCUGCACUGGAUUACUGGUGUUCACUGCUAAGGUCCAAACUGUUUGGCACGGCAUGGGAAGGUCGUUCCCCAACUGGCCCCAAAUAACACUCCAGUUUCAACUCCUGCUUCUUCAUUCCAAGAACCUUAUGCUCAAGCAUUCAAUCUUCCAGUGGUCCUUGAAUAUACCGGGCCCAUGAACAUCUUUGUACCUUUGCACAUGCUGUUCCCUUUGUGUGAAAUGUCUCCAUUCUUCCUGGCCACCCAGAAACCCCUAUUAAACCUUCAAAACCUGGCACAAAUUGCACUUCCUUUGUGAACGUGGGCACCAGAACUUCUGUUGACUGACCACCUUUCAAGUGCCAAGGGGUGCCAGGAGCCUAGUAUGCACUGUUCGUAUUUUCUCGAAGCAAUCCUGCCAGGCUGAAGUCAGCUAUUUCCAUUUUUAAAAUAUAAAAAAAAAAGAGGUUCAAAGGACUUCAGGAAUUUGUCCAAAGUCACUCAGUUAGUGAGCGGCAAAGCUUGGAGUCAAUCAGCCAAUCAAUUAAUUAAUCACCAAAUACUGGUUGUACUCCUACUGUAUACAAGGUACUCUGGUUAGAGCAGAGGAAAAGAUGAACAGAAUUCCUGUCCUCAUGUCAUUUACAGUAGAGAAAGAGAAAAGACAAUGUACAAGUACCUGUGUUUCCAAAGAGAGGACUCACAGGCAGCUAUGGAUUUAAAUUCACAGCAUUUGACUCUCUGCUGCCUUUGAAGCUUCCUUGGGCAGAUUUCUUCACUGUCCAUGGGGAUCCCUCUGACGACCACCUGUCAUCCCUCUGGUGAACUCCCAGAGCACCGAGCUUCGCCCUACUCAUCUUUGCAUCCUUAGUGCUUCCCCAGGCCCAGCCCCAAGAAUGUGCUCUUCAAAGGCUAGUGCAGCAUAAAGAUGGGGGGCCAGCGGGAGAGCUGGGUACUGGUGAGAGGAUGAGCGUGCAGCCCCAGGGCUCUAGCAGGCAGAGUUCUCCCCUUACCUGAG